CAGCGGUUUUCCUGGCAGCACAGAGUCUGUAGUCCAACAAUUGGAGGAGGUGAAACUGAGUGGCGCCAUCUGGGCCAACAGCUAUAGCAAUCGUACUUAAUCUCCAUCAGUGACAGAUGGCUAAGAUAACGCUGACCCAGAUGACGGCUCAGGCUGCACUGCCUCGGAAUUCAGGUUUGAGGAAACAGACAUGCAGAUUCAACGAUGGCUUUUCCAAACAUAACAGGAAGUGUCUGUACAAAAACCCAACAAGCAGAACCAUCCAGUGGAGAGAGCCUAGAUCUUGGGGUCAGAAAGGCCUGAAGUCAAAUUGCCACUUGACCAUUAGCUGCCAUUAUAAACUCUAAGCUGGACUGGACAACAUUGGAGAUUGUCAACUUCUGGAUGUUUGACAACUACCUGAGGAUAUCCUGAAACCGGAUAAUUCGAUGAGAAUACUCAAUGCAAAGUAAGACUCAAGGCAACCCGAAUUAUUCAAGUAGAGCAUCAUAAAGAACCCAAGGAAGAGUGAAAAUGGACAAAAGCUCAUAAAUAAGAAAACAAGCAAAAACUUCAAAAUAGUAUGACAUUCAGGCAGCUAGGAUAGAUGUGGAGCAUGGAAAGAUCACAGCCUGCUUGGCAGACAAGGAGCAGUGGCCUCUCUAAGAUGACAUGUCAUCUACGAGAAGGAAGUGAUCCUGAAAAUAAAAGAAUCAGCAGCAAGUCCAAAGAAUGUGAAAGAACUGAGGCUUAUAGAGGGGCAGAAAGGCAAUGUGGGCCCACGAUGGAUGAGGGGCACCUCGUGGGUGAGACAGACGGAGAAGAGGCUGCAGACGGCCCAGUGCUCCUGGAAAGAAGUAUUCUAGCAACACUGCAAGUUCCUGGAGAGCUUUAAUCUAGAGAGUAUCAUAACCACACUGGAGAGCAAGACUGAAUCUUCCUGAAUAACUGGCUUAAAAACUAUUUAAUGGCUAUGGUUGUGUAUAAACAUAAAACGUAACACUGACAAAGGAACUCUACUAAAAUUAAUCUUAUUUAAAUAAGGGGAAGACAGAAUAGGGGUUGGGUUUUUUGAAGGAUAUGAGAAAAGGUCUUUUAAUAAUAAACAAGGAUCCUAUUCCCUUUGGCUGUAUACAUUGCUCAGCCUAGAUGUAGUAGGGAGGGCCUUGGAUCUUCCACAAAGCAAAGUGCCUUACCCUCUCUGAGGA
This is a long non-coding RNA of Microtus oregoni (creeping vole), 1187 nucleotides long. RefSeq lists it as uncharacterized. The record is from RefSeq and is a predicted model, not a curated record. NCBI's taxonomy places the organism in Eukaryota, Metazoa, Chordata, Mammalia, Rodentia, Cricetidae. The transcript is spliced from 5 exons.